UCGCGUCAAGCGCCGCAGGCAGGAGCGGGGGACCCAAGGUAAGUGCCGGGCCCGGCAGUUGAUGCCGGACCGGCUUGGGGUGAAGCCACCGCCUCCAUGAGGAGGGGUGGCCGGGCAACUCAACCGGCCCGAACCCGACAGCUCACCUCGCAGGCGUCGGUGAGGGGAUCG
Molecule: small RNA, 171 nt
Filed under: Streptomyces griseofuscus
Lineage: Bacteria; Bacillati; Actinomycetota; Actinomycetes; Kitasatosporales; Streptomycetaceae
Description: c-di-AMP sequence
Rfam family: c-di-AMP riboswitch aptamer (ydaO/yuaA leader)
About the family: This family represents a conserved RNA structure found upstream of the ydaO and yuaA genes in Bacillus subtilis and related genes in other bacteria. The ydaO/yuaA element is thought to act as a genetic "off" switch for the ydaO and yuaA genes in its native state.
Source: RNAcentral